UACGUAGGGGGCAAGCGUUGUCCGGAUUUAUUGGGCGUAAAGAGCGUGUAGGCGGCCUUACAGGUCAGCUGUGAAAGUCGGGGGCUCAACCCUCGAAUGCCGGUGGAUACUGUCGGGCUAGAGUGCGGAAGAGGCGAGUGGAAUUCCUGGUGUAGCGGUGAAAUGCGCAGAUAUCAGGAGGAACACCGGUGGCGAAGGCGGGUCUCUGGGCCGAUACUGACGCUGAGGAGCGAAAGCGUGGGGAGCGAACAGG
RNAcentral lists this ribosomal RNA (253 nucleotides) under uncultured bacterium. RNAcentral's name for it is "partial 16S ribosomal RNA". It matches the Rfam family "Bacterial small subunit ribosomal RNA", at positions 524 to 776 of the family's 1533-position model. The record is from RNAcentral.